AGCGAGAUGGCCGAGUGGUUAAGGUGUUGGAAUUAAGUCCCAAUGGAAGCAAGCCCUCGUGGGUUCGAACCCCACUCGCGCUA
This 83-nucleotide transfer RNA is filed under the name Nippostrongylus brasiliensis. It matches the Rfam family "tRNA". From Rfam's summary of the family: Transfer RNA (tRNA) molecules are approximately 80 nucleotides in length. Their secondary structure includes four short double-helical elements and three loops (D, anti-codon, and T loops). Further hydrogen bonds mediate the characteristic L-shaped molecular structure. tRNAs have two regions of fundamental functional importance: the anti-codon, which is responsible for specific mRNA codon recognition, and the 3' end, to which the tRNAs corresponding amino acid is attached (by aminoacyl-tRNA synthetases). tRNAs cope with the degeneracy of the genetic code in two manners: having more than one tRNA (with a specific anti-codon) for a particular amino acid; and 'wobble' base-pairing, i.e. permitting non-standard base-pairing at the 3rd anti-codon position. The record is from Rfam by way of RNAcentral. Lineage: Eukaryota; Metazoa; Nematoda; Chromadorea; Rhabditida; Heligmosomidae.